Molecule: transfer RNA, 73 nt
Filed under: Camelus bactrianus (Bactrian camel)
Lineage: Eukaryota; Metazoa; Chordata; Mammalia; Artiodactyla; Camelidae
Also listed under: 1 other name
Rfam family: tRNA
About the family: Transfer RNA (tRNA) molecules are approximately 80 nucleotides in length.
Source: Rfam by way of RNAcentral
GAGGGUAUAGCUCAGUGGGUAGAAUACAUGCCUAGCAUGCACAAGGUCCUGGGUUCAAUCCCCAGUACCUCUA